CCCCUCGUGGCUCAAUGGUUAGAGCGCCGGUUUGUGACGCCGGAGGUCCUGGUUCAAGUCCAGGCGGGAGGAC
RNAcentral lists this transfer RNA (73 nucleotides) under Mycobacteroides abscessus subsp. abscessus. Its description in RNAcentral is "tRNA-His(gtg)". It matches the Rfam family "tRNA". From Rfam's summary of the family: Transfer RNA (tRNA) molecules are approximately 80 nucleotides in length. Their secondary structure includes four short double-helical elements and three loops (D, anti-codon, and T loops). Lineage: Bacteria; Bacillati; Actinomycetota; Actinomycetes; Mycobacteriales; Mycobacteriaceae. The record is from RNAcentral.